GAUGAACGCUGGCGGCGUGCCUAAUACAUGCAAGUCGAACGAAACUUCUUUAUCACCGAGUGCUUGCACUCACCGAUAAAGAGAUGAGUGGCGAACGGGUGAGUAACAAGUGGGCAACCUGCCCAAACGAGGGGGAUAACACUUGGAAACAGGUGCUAAUACCGCAUAACCAUAGUUACCGCAUGGUAACUAUGUAAAAGGUGGCUAUACUACCGCUUUUGGAUGGGCCCGCGGCGCAUUAGCUAGUUGGUAGGGUAAAGGCUUACCAAGGCAAUGAUGCGUAGCCGAAUUGAGAGGUUGAUCAGCCACAUUGGGACUGAGACACGGCCCAAACUCCUACGGGAGGCAGCAGUGGGGAAUCUUCCACAAUGGGCGAAAGCCUGAUGGAGCAACGCCGCGUGGGUGAAGAAGGUCUUCGGGUCGUAAAGCCCUGUUGUUAGAGAAGAAAGUGCGUAAGAGAAACUGUUCACGUUUCGACGGUAUCUAACCAGAAAGCCACGGCUAACUACGUG
Molecule: ribosomal RNA, 512 nt
Filed under: uncultured bacterium
Lineage: Bacteria
Description: partial 16S ribosomal RNA
Rfam family: Bacterial small subunit ribosomal RNA
Source: RNAcentral